UUAUGAUUUGGAUUGUCGUCAACAGGAGCUGUCCGUGGUGCUGAAGUCCUCAUCAUCAUCAUCUCUGCAUUUCUGAUCACAUGUCCUCACCUGUGGCAGCAAUCUCAGUGACCUUUGACCUUUUACUAAAACUGCUCUAUUAACCAAUUUAAAAAAAAAAAAAAAAAGAUAACCACUGGUGACCUGGUAGAAGCCUCUCAGGUACUUGACAUGUUCCAAGGUUUAAGACAAGGUUUAAAAUGUGGCUCCUCACAGAAUGGAGGAAUCAAUUGUCCUCAGGCUUUUGUUUAGGAUUCUUUUUUAAUCUUAUUAUAAGAUCUUCUUAUCACAAUCAGGUUUUACAUUGUAUUUAAUGUGCAAAUUACUUCCAGAUAUAGAGAUAGAAAAAUGAAUAAUUAUAUAUACAGUAUAUAUAAAUGGCUCAAACCUCGGCAGGGUUUCAGCACCAUGGACAGCUCCUAGUCCACUCAAUCUGUUUGAGCUCUUUGUCUCUUUCAUUUUAACUUUUUCAGUACAUACAAUAUCUGCAUUACAUGUGUUCAUUGUUUAACUUUAUAACUUUCUAAAACUACUUCAGAAUGUUAAUUUUUUAUUUUUUUUAGAAAACCUUUACUAGCGCAACAAUGAACAACUGUCGCUCAGCUCGUCUCAACUUCAGUCCAUGAAGACACAAUAACUGGCUGAAGACAUGAUGACUUUACUUCAUGAAGGUUAACCCUUAGAAUACAGAGCAUUUCAGCUGUUUGUUUACAUUACUAUGUUUAAACAUACAGUAUAUACAGAGGCUAUAAGAAUGAGCAAUAUAGAGUGUCAUAUCCUUUGUUUCAGCACAAUCUAGGCAAUCUAAUAAAAAAUGUUUUAUAAACACACAAAAAUCCAAAAUCAGAUUGAAUUUGUAAAAUUUGGAAAUACGUCACUGUUCAAAGUUCACUUGACUCAUUUUUAUGAACAUUUUGUGACUUUAAUGCUACUUUAUGUCACUACUAAAAAUGCGAUAUGAAAUGAAUCAUAACGGGGAAAAACGCAGUGUUUUAAAGCCUGAAUAUGUGUCCUAUAAACACACACACCCCCAUGAUAAGGAUUGUGUAUUAUUCCCAUUAGCCAUGGGUGCACCUGUGGCACAGAUCUGUGCUGCUGGAGCUCUAAGUGUUUACCUGAUAACAACAUGGGGUUAAGUGCUGCCCAGGGACACAUUGGCAUGUGGACUAGCAGAGCCAGAAAUUAAACCCACAACCUUGGACUUGAAAGACUCGCUCUACCACUGAGCUACCGUUGCCCCGUGCUCUGAAUCACUGCUGUCACUUCCUGGGGAUGUCAGCUGUUCAUCAGGUCAUUCUUCAUCUUGAAAGUCAUCAACACCAUUGCCAGAGUCUGGACUCCAACGGACAUUUUACCGACCGAUUUAUGCUGCUCAGGCAGAUGCCUGCACUCGCAACUUCUUCAAACUGACUCCAACUACCAAAGACUCUAUAAAGACUUUAUCAUCACAUUUAGAGAUUACUUUUUUUUCUUUAAGAAUUCCUCGACAUUUUCAAACCUGUUGUCAUAAUCCACAGUCAUAAAUGGGAGGCAGCACAGGUUUUACAUUGACAAAGAACACAUAUGUCACUUGCAUAUGCUCCGGUGUCUGUAAUCAUCAGCAUUCUGCAGUGGCGUGUCUUCAUAAAUCCAAAUAGAGGAUGAAAGGUGAAUUGUUGUGGGCCAGCACCUUGUGAGGUAUUUUAUUUUAUGACUCUUAGUCAAAGUUAAUCACAUUUUUUAGACAUGGCAGCCUUCUUCAUAAACAAAGGCACAAAGACGACGCUCCAUCUGUUUCAGUUUGUGUGCGUGUGAG
Molecule: long non-coding RNA, 1834 nt
Organism: Solea solea (common sole)
Lineage: Eukaryota; Metazoa; Chordata; Actinopteri; Pleuronectiformes; Soleidae
Exons: 3
Source: RefSeq, a predicted model, not a curated record